This 316-nucleotide unclassified non-coding RNA is filed under the name uncultured Tomentella. RNAcentral describes it as "sequence contains 5.8S rRNA gene". The record is from RNAcentral. Lineage: Eukaryota; Fungi; Basidiomycota; Agaricomycetes; Thelephorales; Thelephoraceae.
GAACGCAUCUUGCGCUCCUUGGUAUUCUGAGGAGCAUGCCUGUUUGAGUAUCAUGAGCACCUCAACUCUCGUGGCUUUGCCCAUGAUGAGCUUGGACUUUGGGGGUCUUUGCUGGCUUACGGUCGGCUCCUCUCAAACGAAUCAGCUUGCCAGUGUUUGGCGGCAUCACAGGUGUGAUAACUAUCUGCGCUUGUGGUUUCCCGCUAGAUAACCUUCAGCGAUGGAGGUUCGCUGGAGCUCAUAAAUGUCUCUCCUCAGCGAGGACAGCACUUUGACUGUUUGAUCUCAAAUCAGGUAGGACUACCCGCUGAACUUA